GCAGCCGCGGUAAUACGGAGGGUGCGAGCGUUAAUCGGAAUUACUGGGCGUAAAGCGCAUGCAGGUGGUUUGUUAAGUCAGAUGUGAAAGCCCGGGGCUCAACCUCGGAAUUGCAUUUGAAACUGGCAGACUAGAGUACUGUAGAGGGGGGUAGAAUUUCAGGUGUAGCGGUGAAAUGCGUACAGAUCUGAAGGAAUACCGGUGGC
This 206-nucleotide ribosomal RNA is filed under the name Vibrio sp. enrichment culture DGGE band 53. Its description in RNAcentral is "partial 16S ribosomal RNA". It matches the Rfam family "Bacterial small subunit ribosomal RNA", at positions 511 to 716 of the family's 1533-position model. The record is from RNAcentral. Lineage: Bacteria; Pseudomonadati; Pseudomonadota; Gammaproteobacteria; Vibrionales; Vibrionaceae.